Long non-coding RNA from Drosophila montana, 1280 nucleotides. RefSeq lists it as uncharacterized. The transcript is spliced from 7 exons. NCBI's taxonomy places the organism in Eukaryota, Metazoa, Arthropoda, Insecta, Diptera, Drosophilidae. The record is from RefSeq and is a predicted model, not a curated record.
CUGCUUGUUUCUCAGUGGGCCGCGCCGGCUGGCUCAUCGGAUUCUCUGGGUGCAGUCCCAUCCCUGGCCCGCAGUCCGCACAAUCGAUAACAACAAAGCUACACGUCUGUAGCAAAACAGACUCACACAACACUACUCAAAAUGAACCACAUAAUCGAUAACAAAUAUUCGGAACUGCUAACUCAUGAACAAAAUAAACAGCUGUAACAACUAUGAAAAUGUAAACAACAAAGAUCGGGCCCCGGUUCCGGACCCAGCGUACCCGCCCUACCAUGAGACGAUCACCUACACUCGUCUCCCUCAUUUUGGCCACUAAAUGGCCUACAUUAGCCCGUGUCGGCCAUCAUGCCCACUCUCCCCAACAAUAUUACUUUAGCCGGACAUGCUUUCUUUCAAUAUCUAUUUAGAAUCUCAUGCAAGUGGAUAUUUCGUUAACUUCACAGGUCUCCAUUCAGAUAAAUUAGUAUUCAUGCACGUGAACAUUUCUUCUCCGGAAUUCAUUUUUUUAUUUUAACAGCACUAAAUGGAACAGGCGACGAAAUACUACAAAGAUAUUGCUAGUCGCCGCAAAAGAAACACGCAAGGAGGCAAUUUAGAGGCAAUCGUUGCGCCGAUUUAGGAACAAUGGCCCACACAAAUACUUAAAACUGGGUAUGUCACGAUAAUCAGUCGUGCAACAGGUAGGUGAUAUAGAUCUGUAUUAAAUCGCUUAAUUCUACCUUACCCUACCUAAAGAGCUCUCUGGGGGUGGUAAGGGGCGAUAUAAAUGGGUAAAUUCCAAUUAGGCGCAGAUGCAUCACCUUUGGAGUUUCCCUCACCGUUCGCACUCUAAAGUGAAGCUCGGCGUAAGUGCCUAUGGAGUACAAUCAGGAGUCUUCAUCUGACUCUGCCAAGGGCUCGAACGAGGAUGGGCAAAAUGGAACGGACUCACUCGGAGGAUGUGGGCGUGGUCUCGCCUGUGGCCGCUUCUUCGUUGUUGGAGCCCGGUCGUUGGUGGCUCGUCUCGUCGCCUUCAGGGUUGCGCCGACGCUUGCUGGCGGCGUCGCGGAUAUGGCUGGUGUGCGCCGCUGAGCCGAAUCCUGGCCUUUGGUAUGUUUCGUGGGCCUCUCUGGUGCGCGAGCUGGUCCCUUUGUUGCCGGAGCCGUUAAUUUUUGUUUUUAUUUGGUUCGUCUCUCGUCGCACUUAAGUUUUAAGUCUCUUUUAAUUUUUUUAUAUUUUGUGACUCGAGCGGUUUAAUUUAUAUAUAUUUAUUAAAUUGCAAAAAAAAACAAAACCAAAAA